UCUUGGUCAUUUAGAGGAAGUAAAAGUCGUAACAAGGUUUCCGUAGGUGAACCUGCGGAAGGAUCAUUAUCAAUAACAGUGGACUUCGGUCCCUGCUACUCCCUUGUCUUUUGCGUACCACUUGUUUCCUCGGCGGGCUUGCCUGCCGAAAGGACAACCAUUGAACCACUUGCAGUUGCAAUCAGCGUCAGAAAUAAACAAUCGUUAAAACUUUCAACAACGGAUCUCUUGGUUCUGGCAUCGAUGAAGAACGCAGCGAAAUGCGAAAAGUAGUGUGAAUUGCAGAAUUCAGUGAAUCAUCGAAUCUUUGAACGCACAUUGCGCCCCUUGGUAUUCCAUGGGGCAUGCCUGUUCGAGCGUCAUUUUGUACCUUCAAGCAUUGCUUGGUGUUGGGUGUUUGUCCGGCAGCGGACUCGCCUGAAAGCUAUUGGCAGCCGCCGCACUGGCAGCAGAGCGCAGCACAAUCUCGCGACUCUGCCCUGCGCGUCGGCGUCCACAAGGCCUUUCAACGUUUGACCUCGGAUCAGGUAGGGAUACCCGCUGAACUUAAGCAUAUCAAUAAGCGGGAGGAA
Molecule: ribosomal RNA, 572 nt
Filed under: Ascomycota sp. TMS-2011
Lineage: Eukaryota; Fungi; Ascomycota
Description: eukaryotic LSU rRNA
Rfam family: 5.8S ribosomal RNA (bases 209-362)
Source: RNAcentral